UACGUAGGGGGCAAGCGUUAUCCGGAUUUACUGGGUGUAAAGGGAGCGUAGACGGCUGUGCAAGCCUGAAGUGAAAGGCGGGGGCCCAACCCCUGGACUGCUUUGGGAACUGUACGGCUGGAGUGCAGGAGAGGUAAGUGGAAUUCCUAGUGUAGCGGUGAAAUGCGUAGAUAUUAGGAGGAACACCAGUGGCGAAGGCGGCUUACUGGACUGUAACUGACGUUGAGGCUCGAAAGCGUGGGGAGCAAACAGG
RNAcentral lists this ribosomal RNA (253 nucleotides) under uncultured bacterium. RNAcentral describes it as "partial 16S ribosomal RNA". It matches the Rfam family "Bacterial small subunit ribosomal RNA", at positions 524 to 776 of the family's 1533-position model. The record is from RNAcentral.